RNAcentral lists this ribosomal RNA (508 nucleotides) under uncultured bacterium. RNAcentral's name for it is "partial 16S ribosomal RNA". It matches the Rfam family "Bacterial small subunit ribosomal RNA", at positions 35 to 539 of the family's 1533-position model. The record is from RNAcentral.
GACGAACGCUGGCGGCGUGCUUAACACAUGCAAGUCGAACGGAAAGGCCCUGCUUUUGUGGGGUGCUCGAGUGGCGAACGGGUGAGUAACACGUGAGUAACCUGCCCUUGACUUUGGGAUAACUUCAGGAAACUGGGGCUAAUACCGGAUAGGAGCUCCUGCUGCAUGGUGGGGGUUGGAAAGUUUCGGCGGUUGGGGAUGGACUCGCGGCUUAUCAGCUUGUUGGUGGGGUAGUGGCUUACCAAGGCUUUGACGGGUAGCCGGCCUGAGAGGGUGACCGGUCGCGUGGCGGCUGUGAGCGGGCCACGAAUGCGGGGGGGGGGCGCGGGGGGGUGAGAGGCCGACGGGGCGGGAGCCGGAGGCAGCAAGGCGGCGUGGGGGAGUGCGGCGUUGGGGUUGUCAUCCGGUGCCGCGGGGGAAGGAGGGUGGGUGUCGGUAAGGGGUAAAGAAGCACCGGAUAACGACGUGCCAGCAGUCGCCUUAAUAAGCGUACGAGCACCCGCGGAAC